UUUGCCCUCCCUGCUCCCUGCCCCAUAUAAGCAGAGCAGGAGGAGCCCAGCCCCAAGCUGGGCCCAUUGCGGGCCAAGGGAUCCUCCGCCGGCAUCCCAGGCUGCAGCAAACAGCAGUGCCUGCACUCCAGAGCCACCAUGAAGCCUACCAAAGAAGAGUGGAGCAGCAGCAGCAGCACACCAGCCUAGCAGAACCUGCUCAGUGCUACUGUCCCAGAGCCAGCCUGGAUUUGUGUCAUCUUUUCCUGGAUUCAAGCCUCGUGUCAAGCCAGGGAAGUGUGAGGGGUGGAAGUGCUUAGUGAAGAGGCAGGCGUUGGUGGGUGUCUGUUUGGGGAGCACUGCAGCCUUCUGAGCUCACACAGCCACAGUGCAGUCUCCAUUUUGCCACCCCCAUGUGGCCUCACAAAUGGCACACUUAGGAGCCCACUGCACUUGAGGCUCAGAGCUCUGCUCUUGAGGAGUGGAAAUGUCUCUAACUCUUACUGCUAGAACAUGUGGGACUGAAGAUGUGCACCAGAAGGUUGUUGGUAUGCCAAGGCUCUGUGAGACACCAACUGCCCCAGAGAGCUUGAGGCACUGCCAGGGCAGUUGAAAGGAUGCAGAUCCUCUUUCCUGCCACCUUGCUGAUGUCCAUGAGCAGAAGUGGAGGUUUCGUGUAGCAGAAGUCAUUUAGGUGACCCUUAACAGGUUCCUUCCAACCUCAA
Molecule: long non-coding RNA, 704 nt
Organism: Pogoniulus pusillus (Red-fronted tinkerbird)
Lineage: Eukaryota; Metazoa; Chordata; Aves; Piciformes; Lybiidae
Exons: 2
Source: RefSeq, a predicted model, not a curated record